Molecule: long non-coding RNA, 366 nt
Filed under: Panax ginseng (ginseng)
Lineage: Eukaryota; Viridiplantae; Streptophyta; Magnoliopsida; Apiales; Araliaceae
Description: long non-coding RNA (PGIN_LNC014659)
Source: RNAcentral
GAUCCUCCUGCCUCCGACCCAGCAACUACUCCCCUUCGGAAUGAUGAGCCUGAAGCCGACGAGCCUUUCAUUCCUGAAGAAGUCCUCCGACCUCGCCGAAGGAAGAAGGCUGCUAAAAAGGCCAGAACUACCCCUCGCGAGAUAAAUCCUGAAAGCGACGAGGAGGUUCUUCCCGAAGCAAACCCACAAUCAACUCCUCCUACUGACCCCGUUACCACACCUUCUGAACCAGCCCCAAUAAAGAGGAGUCUACUUGACAUACCUCUACACGAUCGGGCGAAAGUCCUUCGUGCCAAAAAAUUAAGAUCAAAAAUAAUUCCCCUCACCGCCGAAGAACUCCGCGUCCCUUCAACUUCAACAAUUGAC